UGGGGAAUAUUGCGCAAUGGGGGGAACCCUGACGCAGCCAUGCCGUGUGAAUGAAGAAGGCCUUAGGGUUGUAAAGUUCUUUCGGUAUUGAGGAAGGUUGAUGUGUUAAUAGCACAUCAAAUUGACGUUAAAUACAGAAGAAGCACCGGCUAACUCCGUGCCAGCAGCCGCGGUAAUACGGAGGGUGCGAGCGUUAAUCGGAAUAACUGGGCGUAAAGGGCACGCAGGCGGUUAUUUAAGUGAGGUGUGAAAGCCCCGGGCUUAACCUGGGAAUUGCAUUUCAGACUGGGUAACUAGAGUACUUUAGGGAGGGGUAGAAUUCCACGUGUAGCGGUGAAAUGCGUAGAGAUGUGGAGGAAUACCGAAGGCGAAGGCAGCCCCUUGGGAAUGUACUGACGCUCAUGUGCGAAAGCGUGGGGAGCAAACAGGAUUAGAUACCCUGGUAGUCCACGCUGUAAACGCUGUCGAUUUGGGGGUUGGGGUUUAACUCUGGCGCCCGUAGCUAACGUGAUAAAUCGACCGCCUGGGGAGUACGGCCGCAAGGUUA
RNAcentral lists this ribosomal RNA (547 nucleotides) under uncultured bacterium. RNAcentral describes it as "bacterial SSU rRNA". It matches the Rfam family "Bacterial small subunit ribosomal RNA", at positions 355 to 896 of the family's 1533-position model. The record is from RNAcentral.